AUGGAUGAUACCAAUGUGAGUGAUCAUGAGCCCAUAUUUAAUUCAUCUGCGGCAGAAUCUACUAGUGUUGAUGAGGAACCAGUUAGUGUGGAUAUUUAUGAUCCAAGCAAUUGGGGUAAUCUUGAUAACAAAGCGAGGGACAUAUUAGUGGAAAAGGGGCCUAAAAGGGAAGAACAAAACACUAAAUAUCCUUUGGAUGAAAAUUUAAGACAUUUUUCGUAUAGCCAUUACUCAAGAAAGAUGAGCAAUGGAGAGGUGCGUGAUAGAAAAUGGUUAGUGUUUUCAAAACACACAAAGAAAGUGUUCUGUUUUUGCUGUAAGCUUUUCAAUUCUGAUAAAUGCAAGAGUGCAAUGGGGAAUGAUGGGUUUUGUGAUUGGAGGCAUAUUAAUGAGACACUGAAAGAGCACGAAGCUAGUGUCGACCAUAUUACCAACAUGAACUCAUGGAAUGAAUUGAGAGUUAGACUGAGCAAGCAUGAGACAAUUGACAAAGAUUUACAGCAACAAAUCACAAAGGAGAAAGAA
Molecule: ribosomal RNA, 525 nt
Filed under: Triticum aestivum (bread wheat)
Lineage: Eukaryota; Viridiplantae; Streptophyta; Magnoliopsida; Poales; Poaceae
Description: partial small subunit ribosomal RNA
Source: RNAcentral